UCGCGCACUCGCGCCCGCGCCCUCACCUCUCUCUCCCCAUCCAAACCCUACCUCGCGCCCGCCUCCCUGCCCUGCCGCCGGCGCCGGCGCCGCCGCUCGCCCGGGCACCCAUCCCCGGCCUCACGCCGCCCAUCUAGAGAGAUGGGGGCCGCGCGCGACGAGGCCGGCGUGCCGUCGUCUCGUCUUCUGCCGCGCCCGCCUCCCUGCCUCGCCGCUGGCCGCCGCCGCCACUGCUCGCCCGGGUACCCGGCCGCGGGUGAUGUGGCCGACGUGCCGCCGUCCCGUCUUCUGCGAGGUCGAGGAGAGCCAAUCCCACCUCGCCGCCAUCUCCUUCAUCCAGCCGGCUGCCGCCUUGGCCGACUCCUCUUCCCCUCCCGUCCUCCUCCUCUCGCGUCUCCUUCCCAUCGUCAGGCCGCAUACUGCUCCACCCUUCCUCCUCCCCUCCCAUCGCUCCCCUCUAACGCUAGGAGUGGGUGAGGAGGCUGAGCCACUGCCCGCUGCCGGCCCGCAACACCUCCUGUUCGACCAUGCCGAGGAAGCACUGGACCUUCAUCCUUGCGUCUGUGCAGAGACGACCCGAGGUGACUUAUAAUCUGUAGCAUAUGUUGCUGCAUUGGGAGAUUUGGAGUACGUGCAUUGAGGCUUAAAUGUGCAAAUGCACACUGCUGGAGCGCCCUUCAGCAACGAGGAGGCCCAAUGCGACACGGCCGCCGCCUGCGUCGGUUCUCCCCAGCACGACACGGCCGCCGCGGGCAUCGGUUCUCCCCAGCACAACCACUCUGAAGACGCCCAGGUCCACUGUAGCUGUUGUUCUCUUGUCUUCUUGCACAUAGUACAUCACUUGAUAGUUGAGACUAUACUGGAAAUCGGAUACUCUGAAGCAGUAAAACGUUUCGAGUUCGAUGGUCAGCUUGGCCCAUACAAUUUGGAUUCUUUUGGAGACUGGAAACAACUUUAAAGCUACUUGUCACAAAGUGUCAUUGAACGCCUUGAGCCAAUUGGUGGCAAUUGCAUUGGAGACAUCAUGGAUGGAUAGAGCUCCCCAAAUGGAUAUGGGGAGACGAUUGAUGGAAACACUUAGAGAAGACAAAUUUGCCAAGAAAGCGCCUGCACACACUGAGAGGAGAGGAUGCUAUUACACAACUAUCCCGCUUCGGUUAAGCACAGAAUUCUGGCAAAGUGUCACUGAAUAUUUCAGAGUUUAUAUCUUUUCUAUGAUGCCCAAAGAAAAUGUGUUUCUAAACCCUUUACUGUUUGUGGCAAUGCUUCUCAUGCUUCCCCAAACAAGCUAUUGCUACUUACAAUUCCGAGAGUAAUAGAACUUGCAUGAUGUGAUCAAAGUUCUUUACUUACUUGCAAUGCUUCCUUUCUUUGCAGCUUUGGAAUAUACAAUAAGGUCAAUCGGCAAUGGCUAGCAAUCAGGAUUAUUAGCUGUCCAAUCACCCAGAAACUUUGAGCUGAAAAUGGAUGGAUGGAUGCACGGUGUGAUAAGAUCAUGAAGAAAGUGUUUUGAAGAGUAUCCCGAGGUUGAGAACAUUUAUAGUGAAUUACAGGAAACAAAACGGUCUUACUCCAGUUCACAUCCAUGGUCUGCACUUGCGUCGCGCCCUUUCCUCUCCCUGCCGCCUUGCCUCUCUCCCUGCCUGCUCGUUGCCCCGGUCGUCUCUGAUGGUGCUCCUAGAUGUGCUAUACAUCACCUCCUCACCUCCUUGGCCACUUCGGUGCCCAUGGCUUUCGUGCUCGUCGGCAGGAUGGUGCAAGGCGCAACUCCGAUGUGGUUCCUCACUGGUUGGAUGGCGUUCAGGCGUAACCCCGGUGCCCUCUGAGUACUGCCUCGGCUACAACCUCCCUCUGUGAGCUCCAUCUUCCCCUGCUCUGCUUCGGCUACUAUAUGGGACAUGGCCAGGGCUAUGAUGAUCAGUUAUGGCUGAUAUAGGCAUGCUCUCAAGCAGUCGAGGCACUUGUGGGUAUUAAUUUGGAUCCUCCCUCGUUUCUUUGAGCUGUUUUGAGCACGUUCUUAUUUUAGUGGCUUUGUCCUUGGAUGGUCAUUUCUAAUGAGUGAUAACCAGGGCAGUUAAACCCUCGUAAGAACAUAUUGAUCCGGUGAUCCAUCCAGAAAUCCAGAAAUAAGUCCAUCCAUCCAGAAAUAAGAAUAGAAACUCCUCAGGCCGCUCCUUAGCGAUUUGGGAUUCCUGGCCGUCGGAUCUGGUUGCUUGAUGGAUCUUGGGCCGUCGGAUCGACCCCUGUAAUGACCUUGUCCGUCGGAUAAAAAAAAUUACUGCUGGAAUGAAUAGUUACUCCCAAAAUGAGAUAUCUCGUGCCACCGCGUUUGAAUCACGUGCCCCAUCGGUCGGAAGCCAUUCUUGCUAGGGCGAUGAUGAUUAGCCGUGGGUAUCAAGUUGGGUCCUCCCUCUUGUCUCUAGAAUCCUUUUUGAUCCUGUGAUACUUAUUGUUCUGUCCUUUGGAUGGUCAUUGAUCUGGUGAUAAGAGAUGAUGGGGGUAGAUUAUAUGAUCGAGGAAAGGCAAAUCUGAGCCCAUAUGCAUUGAACCCUGAACCCUUUUUAUUCGCACGUGGCCCACCGGUCGGAAGCCAUCCUUGCUAGGGCGAUGAUGAUUCGCUGUGGCUGAAAUAAGUGUGCCUUUGAGCAAUCAAGGCACCUGCGGGUAUCAAGUUGGGUCCUCCCUCUUGUCUCUAGAAUCCUUUUUGAUCAUGUGAUGUCCUUGGUGUUGGGGAACGUUGCAGAAAACAAAAAAUUUUCUACGAUUUCACCAAGAUCCAUCUAUGAGUUCAUCUAGCAACGAGUGAUUAGAUUGCAUCUACAUAGCUUUGUAGAUCACGCGCGGAAGCGUUCAAAGAUCGGGGAUGAGGAAGUCGUACACAACGUGAUCCAAAUCACCGGAGAUCCUAGCGCCGAACGGAUGGCACCUCCGCGUUCAACACACGUACGGUCAGCGUGACGUCUCCUCUUUCUUGAUCCAGCAAGGGGGAAGGAGAGGUUGAUGAAGAUCCAGCAGCACGACGGCGUGGUGGUGGAUGCAGGGCGUCACAGUAGUAGGGCUUCGCCGUAUACUACGUGAGAGAGAGGUGCAGCAGGGGAGAGGGAGGCGCCAAAGGCUCAAGGGUGCGGCUGCCCCCUCCCUCCCCUUCAUAUAUAUAGGCUCCCCUAAGGGGGGCGCCGGCCCUAGGAGAUGAGAUCUCCUAGGGAGGGCGGCGGCCAGGGCUGGAGUGGCCCUCAAGGCAAGGUGGGGCGCCCCCCACCCCUAGGGUUUCAACCCUAGGCGCAUGGGGUGGGCCUAGGGGGGCGC
This is a long non-coding RNA of Triticum aestivum (bread wheat), 3306 nucleotides long. RefSeq lists it as uncharacterized. The transcript is spliced from 7 exons. Lineage: Eukaryota; Viridiplantae; Streptophyta; Magnoliopsida; Poales; Poaceae. The record is from RefSeq and is a predicted model, not a curated record.